ACGCUCGACACCUACGGGAGUCAGCAGUGGGGAAUAUUGCACAAUGGGGGAAACCCUGAUGCAGCGACGCCGCGUGGAGGAAGAAGGUCUUCGGAUUGUAAACUCCUGUUGUUGGGGAAAAAGAGGAUGGUACCCAACAAGGAAGUGACGGCUAACUACGUGCCAGCAGCCGUGGUAAUCUGAGCGGGCUGGCAAGGC
RNAcentral lists this ribosomal RNA (198 nucleotides) under uncultured bacterium. RNAcentral describes it as "partial 16S ribosomal RNA". It matches the Rfam family "Bacterial small subunit ribosomal RNA", at positions 328 to 539 of the family's 1533-position model. The record is from RNAcentral.